This 827-nucleotide ribosomal RNA is filed under the name uncultured soil bacterium. Its description in RNAcentral is "bacterial SSU rRNA". It matches the Rfam family "Bacterial small subunit ribosomal RNA", at positions 26 to 897 of the family's 1533-position model. The record is from RNAcentral.
AGAACGAACGCUGGCGGCAGGCCUAACACAUGCAAGUCGAACGCUCGUAGCAAUACGAGAGUGGCAGACGGGUGCGGAACACGUGGGAACAUACCCUUUGGUUUGGAAUAACUCAGGGAAACUUGAGCUAAUACCGGAUAAGCCCGUAAGGGGAAAGAUUUAUCGCCGAAGGAUUGGCCCGCGUCCGAUUAGCUAGUUGGUGAGGUAAUGGCUCACCAAGGCGACGAUCGGUAGCUGGUCUGAGAGGAUGAUCAGCCACAUUGGGACUGAGACACGGCCCAAACUCCUACGGGAGGCAGCAGUGGGGAAUAUUGGACAAUGGGCGCAAGCCUGAUCCAGCCAUGCCGCGUGAGUGAUGACGGCCCUAGGGUUGUAAAGCUCUUUCACCCACGACGAUAAUGACGGUAGUGGGAGAAGAAGCCCCGGCUAACUUCGUGCCAGCAGCCGCGGUAAUACGAAGGGGGCUAGCGUUGUUCGGGUUUACUGGGCGUAAAGCGCGCGUAGGCGGAUCUUUAAGUCAGGGGUGAAAUGCCGGAGCUCAACUUCGGAACUGCCUUUGAUACUGGAGAUCUUGAGUUCGGGAGAGGUGAGUGGAACUGCGAGUGUAGAGGUGAAAUUCGUAGAUAUUCGCAAGAACACCAGUGGCGAAGGCGGCUCACUGGCCCGAUACUGACGCUGAGGCGCGAAAGCGUGGGGAGCAAACAGGAUUAGAUACCCCUGGUAGUCCACGCCGUAAACGAUGGAUGCUAGCCGUUAGGCAGCUUGCUGCUUAGUGGCGCAGCUAACGCUUUAAGCAUCCCGCCUGGGGAGUACGGUCGCAAGAUUAA